This 119-nucleotide ribosomal RNA is filed under the name Lepisosteus oculatus (spotted gar). The record is from RNAcentral. Lineage: Eukaryota; Metazoa; Chordata; Actinopteri; Semionotiformes; Lepisosteidae.
GCCAGCAGUCAUAUCACUCUGCAACUCACAACUGGCAACCCACUGAAGCUCAGCAGGUUUGAGCCUGGUCAGUACUUGGAUGUGAGACCUCCUGGGAAAAACUAAGGUUGCUGCUGGAA